AUCAACUUUCGAUGGUAGGAUAGAGGCCUACCAUGGUGGUAACGGGUAACGGGGUGUUAGGGCACGACACCGGAGAGGGAGCCUGAGAAACGGCUACCACAUCCAAGGAUGGCAGCAGGCGCGCAAAUUACCCAAUCCCGACACGGGGAAGUAGUGACAAUAAAUAACAAUACGGGGUUCUUUCGGAUCUCGUAAUUGGAAUGAGUACAAUUUAAAUCUCUUAACGAGGAACAAUUGGAGGGCAAGUCUGGUGCCAGCAGCCGCGGUAAUUCCAGCUCCAAUAGCGUAUAUUAAAGUUGUUGCAGUUAAAAAGCUCGUAGUUGAAUUUCGAGAUUAAUUUAUUGGUCGUGCCUUGGUACGUACUGACAUUAUUGAUUUCUCCCUUCUGAAGAACCAUGAUGUCAUUAAUUUGGUGUCUUGGGGAAUCAGGACUGUUACUUUGAAAAAAUUAGAGUGUUUAAAGCAGGCUCGCGCUUGAAUACAUUAGCAUGGAAUAAUGAAAUAGGACGUUUGAUUCUAUUUGGUGGUUUCCAAGAAUGGAGUAAUGGUUAAUAAGGAAAAGUGGGGGCAUUAAUAAUUCAUUGGCCGAAGUGAAAUUUCUGGAAUUAAUGGAGAAUAACUACUGGCAAAGCAUUUGGCAAGGAAGGUUUCCUUAAUCCAGAACGAAAGGUAAGGGAACGAAAAACAAUAGAAUACGGUCGUAAUCCUUAACCAUAAAACUAAUGCUCGACUAGGGAUCGGGAUGAUGUUAAAUUUUUUAAUUGACCUCAUUCGGCCGCCUUACGGGAAACCAAAGUGU
RNAcentral lists this ribosomal RNA (799 nucleotides) under uncultured fungus. Its description in RNAcentral is "bacterial SSU rRNA". It matches the Rfam family "Eukaryotic small subunit ribosomal RNA", at positions 314 to 1106 of the family's 1831-position model. Lineage: Eukaryota; Fungi. The record is from RNAcentral.